ACGGCUGUCUCUCACUGUCUCAGAUCCAACAGGUCUUCUCAUCAAAGUGGUCGUCCUGCCGCUGACUCUGCUGUUGGUGAUCGCUGCCCUGUGUUUCUACCGUAAGGCCAGCAGGGGGCAGAAGCCGGGCAGGCAGGAGGACAUCGAGCUGGAUUAUUAUAACCCGGGUGUUUCUGCAGCUGAAGAGGAAGGAGCUCAGGGAGCAGAGUAGGACCUCCAAGGAGCUCAUCUCAUCUGCCUCACAACCCACCAUCAGCUCAGUCCAGGAUUUUACUCUUUUCUAGUGAUGGAUAAGCCUCUGGUUCUGGUUCUUGGGGGGCCUUCACAGACACAGUUUGACUGCCUGACACAUUUACAAGCCAUAUAGUAACAUGAUUUGCCUUCAGAGUGAUAAUGGUUAACUGCUGAGCUCAUAUUACAAAAGUAGAACAUUUGAAGAAAGAUGUUUAAUUUGAGAUACUGUCUUUAUUUCUUUAAUAAGUCCUGUAUCGCUGCAUCUCUUGUGCCGGACCUCAUCUUUGCCUCUAGAAACCUUUGUGUGAUGCAGAGGGGAAGGUCAAGAGUUUUACUUUUUACGCUUCUAUCAUUUUUAGUCAACGUUAAGACUUGUCUUCUGUAAGGACGUCUCAUGUAUGCAUUCCCUGAUGACAUCAAGAUAAUCAUUUUAAUCAGGAAAGAAGGCACUAUUUGCCUAAACGUCAGCAGCCACUGUGAAAAUGAAAGCAACAUCAUUUUGAGAUUAAAGAACAGAAGGAAGGUUUUUCUUUAAAAAA
Long non-coding RNA from Micropterus salmoides (largemouth bass), 773 nucleotides. RefSeq lists it as uncharacterized. Lineage: Eukaryota; Metazoa; Chordata; Actinopteri; Centrarchiformes; Centrarchidae. The transcript is spliced from 3 exons. The record is from RefSeq and is a predicted model, not a curated record.